Long non-coding RNA from Prosopis cineraria, 1025 nucleotides. RefSeq lists it as uncharacterized. The record is from RefSeq and is a predicted model, not a curated record. The transcript is spliced from 2 exons. Lineage: Eukaryota; Viridiplantae; Streptophyta; Magnoliopsida; Fabales; Fabaceae.
CUAAGAAUUUAUGCACGUAAAAAUUAGUCGAAGGUGGCACGGAGAAUUCGACGUUGCCUGAUUGACAGUUGACUUGAUUAAAAGGUCGCAAAGAGUGACAGCCUAACAGUAGACAGGAGAAACGCAUUGAUGGGAAGGUUCUUGGCGGUUGGCGCCUCCGAAUUACCCCACGAUGUCUAAAACAUUGCGGCGCGUUCAUGACAAUUGAUGAAUGUGUAAAUAUAAAAAUUACACACAGAGGGACAAAGUUUUGAUGAGAUGAAACCAUUUCUAAAGAGCGAGAGUAUAGCAGUCGCUAGCGAAGCAGGCUGGGAGGAAGACAGUCGUCUCAUUGUUACGCUGUUUGCCUGUUAUUCCCAUGGAAUCGAAGCCCCGAUCCUCAGCUAGUCCUCCACCAAAGCCAUGGGAACGCGCGGGUUCGUCAACUAGCCCAGCACCUUUAAGACCACCAUCAGCUGGCAUCAAAAGUGAUGUAGCAGAGGCUUCGGGGACGGACAGCAAAACACGGGGAAAUAGCUUCUACUUCUGAUAAGAAUGCAACUGCCAAAAGGGAAUACUGUUGGAAGGCCUGGGGAGCAGAACUAUGGAAGCAGCGGCUAUGGCGGUAAUUUUUGUAUCUUCAUUCUUCACGGUCCUAUUUAUCCCUCAUUGAACACCCCACCUUUCCACCUUACCUGGUUCUACCAUGAAUUGUGGUGGAUUAGAAGGGUUGUACGGUAACAGUUUGUACAGGAAAGGGUAUGGUGGACUUCAUGGAUCAUCUGGAAUGCAGAAUAGCUGCUUUGGUGGCUAUGCUAUGGCUAGUCCUUGUGGACCUCAAGAUGCCAAUGAUCCCUAUGGCUGGCCUCUUUCUCCGCCGGGGUUUUGGAUUUCUGUCUCACGUGUGGUAGGCUAUCUUAUGCCUGGGCUAAUUUAAAUUUCUCCUGUACGGGUGAAUACGCAAAUUGACGAUUUUAUAAUUAAAAUAAUCGGUAUCCUUCCUUCCCGUCUAGGAUUUAGAUCAAAUUUAAGUUUAUUUGCUCAGA